RNAcentral lists this ribosomal RNA (253 nucleotides) under uncultured bacterium. RNAcentral describes it as "partial 16S ribosomal RNA". It matches the Rfam family "Bacterial small subunit ribosomal RNA", at positions 524 to 776 of the family's 1533-position model. The record is from RNAcentral.
UACGUAGGGUGCAAGCGUUAAUCGGAAUUACUGGGCGCAAAGCGUGCGCAGGCGGUUAUGCAAGACAGAAGGGAAAUCCCCGGGCUCAACCUGGGAACUGCAUUUGUGACUGCAUGGCUAGAGUACGGUAGAGGGGGAUGGAAUUCCGCGUGUACCAGCGAAAUGCGUAGAUAUGCGGAGGAACACCGAUGGCGAAGGCAAUCCCCUGGACCUGUACUGACACUCAUGCACGAAAGCGUGGGGAGCAAACAGG